GGCUGAAAAGCCAAUGGUGCGAAGCUACCAUCUGUUGGAUCAUGACUGAACGCCUCUAAGUCAGAAUCCUUGCUAGAACGCAACGAUAAUUACCUCCGGAGAAUCUUAGGCGAACAAGGAUAGAGAACGGGCUCGCCCGCUCUCCUGCGUCNCAAUGUGCCAAGAGGGAAAACAACCCUCAAGGCACUAAAGUAUAUCAAAGUUUAAAAUUUCUGGAGAUAAAUCCUUUGCAGACGACUUAAAUAAAGAACGGGGUAUUGUACGUUGUAGAGUAGCCUUGUUGCUACGAUCUUCUGAGAUUAAGCCUUUGUUCUACGAUUUGU
Nematostella vectensis (starlet sea anemone) is the source of this 323-nucleotide non-coding RNA. NCBI's taxonomy places the organism in Eukaryota, Metazoa, Cnidaria, Anthozoa, Actiniaria, Edwardsiidae. The record is from Rfam.